CCAGACUCCUACGGGAGGCAGCAGUGAGGAAUAUUGAUCAAUGGGCGGGAGCCUGAACCAGCCAAGUCGCGUGAGGGAUGACGGCCCUAUGGGUUGUAAACCUCUUUUGCCGGGGAGCAAAGUGCCGCACGUGUGCGGUUUGGAGAGUACCCGGAGAAAAAGCAUCGGCUAACUACGUGCCAGCAGCCGCGGUAAUACGUAGGGAGCGAGCGUUGUCCGGAAUUACUGGGUGUAAAGGGAGCGUAGGCGGGAUUGCAAGUUGGAUGUGAAAACUGCGGGCUCAACCCGGAGCGUGCAUUCAAAACUGCGAUUCUUGAGUGAAGUAGAGGCAAGCGGAAUUCCUAGUGUAGCGGUGAAAUGCGUAGAUAUUAGGAGGAACACCAGUGGCGAAGGCGGCUUGCUGGGCUUUUACUGACGCUGAGGCUCGAAAGUGUGGGGAGCAAACAGGAUUAGAUACCCUGGUAC
Molecule: ribosomal RNA, 465 nt
Filed under: uncultured bacterium
Lineage: Bacteria
Description: bacterial SSU rRNA
Rfam family: Bacterial small subunit ribosomal RNA
Source: RNAcentral